CCUACGGGAGGCAGCAGUAGGGAAUCUUCCGCAAUGGACGAAAGUCUGACGGAGCAACGCCGCGUGAACGAUGAAGGUUUUCGGAUCGUAAAGUUCUGUUGUUAGGGAAGAACACGUACCGUUUGAAUAAGGCGGUACCUUGACGGUACCUAACGAGGAAGCCCCGGCUAACUACGUGCCAGCAGCCGCGGUAAUACGUAGGGGGCGAGCGUUGUCCGGAAUUAUUGGGCGUAAAGCGCGCGCAGGCGGUUUCUUAAGUCUGAUGUGAAAGCCCACGGCUUAACCGUGGAGGGUCAUUGGAAACUGGGGAACUGGAGUACAGAAGAGGAGAGCGGAAUUCCACGUGUAGCGGUGAAAUGCGUAGAUAUGUGGAGGAACACCAGUGGCGAAGGCGGCUCUCUGGUCUGUAACUGACGCUGAGGCGCGAAAGCGUGGGGAGCGAACAGGAUUAGAUACCCUGGUAGUCCACGCCGUAAACGAUGAGUGCUAGGUGUUAGGGGGUUUCCGCCCCUUAGUGCUGAAGUUAACGCAUUAAGCACUCCGCCUGGGGAGUACGGCCGCAAGGCUGAAACUCAAAAGAAUUGACGGGGGCCCGCACAAGCGGUGGAGCAUGUGGUUUAAUUCGAAGCAACGCGAAGAACCUUAC
RNAcentral lists this ribosomal RNA (646 nucleotides) under uncultured Sediminibacillus sp. RNAcentral describes it as "bacterial SSU rRNA". It matches the Rfam family "Bacterial small subunit ribosomal RNA", at positions 338 to 974 of the family's 1533-position model. Lineage: Bacteria; Bacillati; Bacillota; Bacilli; Caryophanales; Bacillaceae. The record is from RNAcentral.